Molecule: non-coding RNA, 45 nt
Filed under: Schistosoma margrebowiei
Lineage: Eukaryota; Metazoa; Platyhelminthes; Trematoda; Strigeidida; Schistosomatidae
Source: RNAcentral
AGCUUGCUGAAGAGGCCAAAAUAGGACGAAACACAAGUCCAGGAU